RNAcentral lists this unclassified non-coding RNA (2354 nucleotides) under Hevea brasiliensis (rubber tree). Lineage: Eukaryota; Viridiplantae; Streptophyta; Magnoliopsida; Malpighiales; Euphorbiaceae. The record is from RNAcentral.
CCUUUCUCAUGAAAUAGUUUGAAAUCCUAACACUGGAGCUCGAGAACAAAGAUCUAGUGCAAAUGCAUAUUCUCUGAAGUUAAAAUUUAUACAGAACUACGAGGUCACUGAGUUAAAAUUAAAAAAUCCAAGGGUUUGGAACCGUACCAAAACGCUUAGCUAGAAGGGAACUAAACUAAAACAAAUAGACAAGUACAGGGAGAGAGUCUACAUUUUGAGACCUGACACUGCGGUUUCAGCCACCUUGGUAAACAAGCAGAGAAACAAAUGUUUAGCAUAACUAAGGGGACACAAAGCAUCAAUCAGCCUACUUCUAAACAUCUGCUUACAUUUCUCUGCCUCACUCAAAUAUUCCCCUACUCUAAGCCUUUUUAACUUUUCACUGCUGCCAAACAUCUAAUCAUCUAAGGUUUCCUAAUUCUUAUUGUUCAAUGUACAAAAAGAACAAACCAACAGACAGAAUAGAAAACGGAGAAUAGAGAACCAGAUAGCUCCCAGCUACAAUGCUACUCAUCCUAAAUAAUAAUCAAACAAAUAGGGCUAUCAAAACGAAUGUUCUGGUGCUACUGGUAGCGAUGUGUCGGUUGCUGCUGUAGUGCUAACCUUUUUUCUCAUCUCUAUGACCUUCCUGUGGGAGUUGGAGUGCAAUGAUGGAACAAAGGUUGGACUAGCGGCAGGACGGUACUCUGGAAAGAGACGGCCAGACCUGUAACGAACCCCACAAGCGUUGCAAAGGGUUUUUGGUCCCAUUGGCCCCUCUCUCCAUUGUGGAGUCUUGGUCACCUCACAGUGUGAGCAUUUUCUGAUUUCAACUGGCUCUUGUGAGCACGGUUUCACCAUCUCUACAGUACAGGACAGCAGCCUCAGAUUUUUUUUCUUCUGUUUUUUCUUGGCAAGGUUCAACAUUUUCUCAUCAGGGUAGGUCUCUGAUUCUGAUUCAGAAGAACUCAUAGGAUGAUAUUGUUUUGGAGAAUAGGAAGUGGACAUGAAUGAAAAUGUGCGUCGCUGGGGCCGUGGGCGCUUGCUUCGAGGGCGCUUCACUGGGAUGAUAAAUUUGGGGUGAUAGACCAUUGCAUUUUCAGCUGAGGAAGAGCUGCUGCUGCUUUCAAGGACAGAAACAGGACUGGAGGUACAGAAUAGUUGUGAAUAUUUAACCUCUGAAGAGUUAUAAUUAAGGGGAAUGCUUCUGCUAGAGGAUGCUUCGGUGGCAGUCGGCCACUGUUUUGGCUGAGAAGAUUCAUCACACAAAACUGAGGAGCUAUUCUUUACUUUAAGAAUGUCACUACUAUUUUCACCAUAAAGGCCAGCCGUUAAACCUGCCAAAACAUUUGAUGGUGGUGGCACCAGCUGUUGAAAUUUGGCCUCCCAAUCUUCCACUACAUUCGGUUCCACAUCCUCCAAAGGAAAAUCUAAAAAUUUAAUGGCAUCAUCAAAAAAAUCAUCUGGGACCCCAUUAAAAUUUUCAUCAAAAAACCAAGAACCAUUCAUAUUAUUACCCUGUGUAUCAUACAGAAAAAAGAAGAACAAAAUAAUCAGGCAAUUGUUAUUCAAAACCAUAAACGCACACUCCCCACAAAAGAAAACGUGUUAUAGUACAGAAAUAAAGGAAGCAAUACUCAUUAAAGUCAUACAUUACUUUCUUAUACUUGAGGAUCAUACCUUAGAACUCAGCUUCUUCUAGAUGUGCAACAUGUAUCUAACACAGGUACGUUAAUUGUGAUAUGAGUUUGAUGUUGGUACAUUUGGUUCAUGUGUCACACUUCUGUUUUUGCCAGUCUUCAAACAGGAAGGAUUAUUAUAAUUAAAUAAAUAAAUGCAUAUUCUGUGAUUAUAACCUUUUGUACGAAGUUAUUAUCAAGAUUUUGUCAACCAAACAAGCCUUAAUAAUAACAAUAAUAAUAUAUCUUAUUUUUCACUGCAUCUCAUUCAUUGGUUCAAAUUGAAGUCAUAACCAUGAAGAAAACAACCACGUAUCUGAUUUGAAAAUGAUGUCCUUGUUUAGCCACAUUUAGACUUAUGCCUUUGCCAGCUUUCAAACAAGAAGGAUCAUAAUAAUUCAAUAAAUAAAUGCAUCUUUUGUGAUUAUAAACGGACUUUCAUAUUCUAAAUUACUUUUAGAACCCUUUGUACGGAAGUUAUCAUCAAGUUUUUGUUGCCAUAGAAAAACUUAUGCAUAUGUGUUAUUAUAAACUAUAAUUGGGUAAGGUAAUUACAUUUAUUUCAUUUAAUUACUCUGAUUAUAAGGACUAUGCAUUUUUUUUUUUGGGGGGAAAAAGUAUAUCCCUAAAUGAAUUAAAUGCGUUCUUUGAUUGUUCUAUAAGAAAUCUAGUAAUUAUGAGAAAGGAAUUGUAACC